CCUACGGGUGGCUGCAGUGGGGAAUAUUGGACAAUGGGCGAAAGCCUGAUCCAGCCAUGCCGCGUGUGUGAAGAAGGCCUUCGGGUUGUAAAGCACUUUCAGUGGGGAAGAAAGCCUUGGGGCUAAUACCCUCGAGGAAGGACAUCACCCACAGAAGAAGCACCGGCUAACUCCGUGCCAGCAGCCGCGGUAAUACGGAGGGUGCGAGCGUUAAUCGGAAUUACUGGGCGUAAAGCGCGCGUAGGCGGUCUGAUAAGCCGGUUGUGAAAGCCCCGGGCUCAACCUGGGAACGGCAUCCGGAACGGUCAGGCUAGAGUGCAGGAGAGGAAGGUAGAAUUCCCGGUGUAGCGGUGAAAUGCGUAGAGAUCGGGAGGAAUACCAGUGGCGAAGGCGGCCUUCUGGACUGACACUGACGCUGAGGUGCGAAAGCGUGGGUAGCAAACAGGAUUAGAUACCCCUGUAGUC
This 465-nucleotide ribosomal RNA is filed under the name Vreelandella stevensii. RNAcentral describes it as "partial 16S ribosomal RNA". It matches the Rfam family "Bacterial small subunit ribosomal RNA", at positions 338 to 795 of the family's 1533-position model. The record is from RNAcentral. Lineage: Bacteria; Pseudomonadati; Pseudomonadota; Gammaproteobacteria; Oceanospirillales; Halomonadaceae.